GCAUCGAUGAAGAACGCAGCGAAAUGCGAUAAGUAGUGUGAAUUGCAGAAUUCAGUGAAUCAUCGAAUCUUUGAACGCACAUUGCGCCCCUUGGUAUUCCAUGGGGCAUGCCUGUUCGAGCGUCAUUUGUACCUUCAAGCUAUGCUUGGUGUUGGG
This 156-nucleotide ribosomal RNA is filed under the name Phoma sp. Fanqin17. RNAcentral's name for it is "5.8S ribosomal RNA". The stretch from base 1 to 125 matches the Rfam family "5.8S ribosomal RNA", at positions 30 to 154 of the family's 154-position model. Rfam says of the family: 5.8S ribosomal RNA (5.8S rRNA) is a component of the large subunit of the eukaryotic ribosome. It is transcribed by RNA polymerase I as part of the 45S precursor that also contains 18S and 28S rRNA. Functionally, it is thought that 5.8S rRNA may be involved in ribosome translocation. The record is from RNAcentral. Lineage: Eukaryota; Fungi; Ascomycota; Dothideomycetes; Pleosporales; Didymellaceae.